Molecule: ribosomal RNA, 492 nt
Filed under: uncultured bacterium
Lineage: Bacteria
Description: partial 16S ribosomal RNA
Rfam family: Bacterial small subunit ribosomal RNA
Source: RNAcentral
AGUGAACGCUGGCGGUAGGCCUAACACAUGCAAGUCGAACGGCAGCACAGUAAGAGCUUGCUCUUACGGGUGGCGAGUGGCGGACGGGUGAGGAAUACAUCGGAAUCUACUUUUUCGUGGGGGAUAACGUAGGGAAACUUACGCUAAUACCGCAUACGACCUACGGGUGAAAGCAGGGGAUCUUCGGACCUUGCGCGAUUGAAUGAGCCGAUGUCGGAUUAGCUAGUUGGCGGGGUAAAGGCCCACCAAGGCGACGAUCCGUAGCUGGUCUGAGAGGAUGAUCGGCCACACUAGAACUGAGACACGGUCCAGACUCCUACGGGAGGCAGCAGUGGGGAAUAGUGGACAAUGGGCGCAAGCCUGAUCCAGCCAUACCGCGUGGGUGAAGAAGGCCUUCGGGUUGUAAAGCCCUUUUGUUGGGAAAGAAAAGCAGCAGGUUAAUACCCCGCUGUUCUGACGGUACCCAAAGAAUAAGCACCGGCUAACUUCGUG